Molecule: ribosomal RNA, 521 nt
Filed under: uncultured Glomeraceae
Lineage: Eukaryota; Fungi; Glomeromycota; Glomeromycetes; Glomerales; Glomeraceae
Description: SSU rRNA
Rfam family: Eukaryotic small subunit ribosomal RNA
Source: RNAcentral
AGCAGCCGCGGUAAUUCCAGCUCCAAUAGCGUAUAUUAAAGUUGCUGCAGUUAAAAAGCUCGUAGUUGAAUUUCGGGACCAUCAUGUCGGUCGUGCCUCGGUACGUACUGGCAUCGUCGGUUUCUCCCUUCUGACGAACCAUGAUGUCAUUUAUUUGGUGUCGUGGGGAAUCAGGACUGUUACUUUGAAAAAAUUAGAGUGUUUAAAGCAGGCUCACGCUUGAAUACAUUAGCAUGGAAUAAUGAAAUAGGACGUUUGAUUCUAUUUUGUUGGUUUCUAGGAUCGACGUAAUGACUAAUAGGGAUAGUUGGGGGCAUUAGUAUUCAAUUGUCAGAGGUGAAAUUCUUGGAUUUAUUGAAGACUAACUACUGCGAAAGCAUUUGCCAAGGAUGUUUUCAUUAAUCAAGAACGAAAGUUAGGGGAUCGAAGACGAUCAGAUACCGUCGUAGUCUUAACCAUAAACUAUGCCGACUAGGGAUCGGAUGAUGUUAAUUUUUUAAUGACUCAUUCGGCGCCUUACG